Molecule: long non-coding RNA, 549 nt
Organism: Schistocerca gregaria
Lineage: Eukaryota; Metazoa; Arthropoda; Insecta; Orthoptera; Acrididae
Exons: 5
Source: RefSeq, a predicted model, not a curated record
AUCCAGAUUCAGCCCGUUUAGCAUUUGCCUAUCGAUACAAGCGCCGUUCGUCGUUCAACCGAAUCUAUGAGAAAAAAACUAAAAUUUACAGACCUAGACACAAUUCUCAAUUGCUCAGGCGUCAAAGGAGACAGCAACAAUCAAAACGAUAUCAUCUUUAUUGCACUAGGCACAUGCUGGUCCUACCCAGCCCUCAAAUCGCUAGAAACAAUCGAGUCGUGUAGAGCUGAGAAUGUACAGAUCUUCCUUGUAGACCAAGAGACUUGUGUAGACUUCUGCAUAGAACAGGGUAUCAUUCCCGGGUCGCCUGCCGCUAUGCUGUACUAUAACGGGAACGCUUUGCAAAUUAUGAGGCGGAAAUCAAGCACUCCGACUUCUUUUUACAGUGGACAACUAAACAAGGACAAGUUUGAAUUGCUAAUCAAAAUUGCGCGCAAAGCGAUAUCCAAAGAGGCAGUGUUAGAAAACAUUAUUUUGCAAGUCCCCUUUUAAUUUCAACUAGGAGCACAGCUGUAAGUUACAUAAUAAAUUUUUUUUAGUAUGAUUUCA